CCUACGGGGCGCAGCAGUGGGGGAUAUUGCACAAUGGGGGGAACCCUGAUGCAGCGACGCCGCGUGGGUGAAGAAGCGCCUCGGCGCGUAAAGCCCUUUCAGCAGGGAAGAAAAUGACGGUACCUGAAGAAGAAGCCCCGGCUAACUACGGGCCAGCCGCCGCGGUAAUACGUAGGGGGCACGCGUUAUCCGGAUUUACUGGGUGUGAAGGGGGCGCAGACGGCGAUGCAAGCCAGGAGUGAAAGCCCGGGGCCCAACCCCGGGACUGCGCUUGGAACUGCGUGGCUGGAGUGCAGGAGGGGCAGGCGGAAUUCCUGGGGUAGAGGUGAAAGGCGUAGAUAUCAGGAGGAACACCGGGGGCGAAGGCGGCCUGCUGGACUGCAACUGACGUUGAGGCCCGAAAGCGUGGGGAGCAAACAGGAUUAGAUACCCGGGUAGUC
Molecule: ribosomal RNA, 440 nt
Filed under: uncultured bacterium
Lineage: Bacteria
Description: partial 16S ribosomal RNA
Rfam family: Bacterial small subunit ribosomal RNA
Source: RNAcentral